RNAcentral lists this ribosomal RNA (419 nucleotides) under uncultured eukaryote. Its description in RNAcentral is "bacterial SSU rRNA". It matches the Rfam family "Eukaryotic small subunit ribosomal RNA", at positions 592 to 1018 of the family's 1831-position model. The record is from RNAcentral.
CAAUAGUAUAUAUUAGUGUUGUUGCAGUUAAAACGCUCGUAGUUGGAUUUUGGGAGGGUUUGUGUGGUCCGCCGCAAGGUGUGCACUGCAUGGAUUCUUCUUCCUUCCGAAGACGCGGCAUGCUCUUCAUCGGGUGUGUCGUUUGAUUCGGAAAUUUUACUUUGAAUAAAUAAGAGUGUUCAAAGCAGGCCUUCGCUUGAAUACAUUAGCAUGGAAUAAUGAAAUAGGACUUUGGUUCUAUUUUGUUGGUUUGCGCACCAAGGUAAUGAUUAAUAGGGAUAGUUGGGGGUAUUCAUAUUCAAUUGUCAGAGGUGAAAUUCUUGGAUUUAUGGAAGAUGAACUUAUGCGAAAGCAUUUACCAAGGAUGUUUUCAUUAAUCAAGAACGAAAGUUAGGGGAUCGAAGACGAUUAGAUACCGU